AAAUUGAAGAGUUUGAUCAUGGCUCAGAUUGAACGCUGGCGGCAGGCCUAACACAUGCAAGUCGAACGGUAACAGGAAGCAGCUUGCUGCUUCGCUGACGAGUGGCGGACGGGUGAGUAAUGUCUGGGAAACUGCCUGAUGGAGGGGGAUAACUACUGGAAACGGUGGCUAAUACCGCAUAACGUCGCAAGACCAAAGAGGGGGACCUUCGGGCCUCUUGCCAUCAGAUGUGCCCAGAUGGGAUUAGCUUGUUGGUGAGGUAACGGCUCACCAAGGCGACGAUCCCUAGCUGGUCUGAGAGGAUGACCAGCCACACUGGAACUGAGACACGGUCCAGACUCCUACGGGAGGCAGCAGUGGGGAAUAUUGCACAAUGGGCGCAAGCCUGAUGCAGCCAUGCCGCGUGUAUGAAGAAGGCCUUAGGGUUGUAAAGUACUUUCAGCGGGGAGGAAGGUGUUGUGGUUAAUAACCGCAGCAAUUGACGUUACCCGCAGAAGAAGCACCGGCUAACUCCGUGCCAGCAGCCGCGGUAAUACGGAGGGUGCAAGCGUUAAUCGGAAUUACUGGGCGUAAAGCGCACGCAGGCGGUCUGUCAAGUCGGAUGUGAAAUCCCCGGGCUCAACCUGGGAACUGCAUUCGAAACUGGCAGGCUUGAGUCUUGUAGAGGGGGGUAGAAUUCCAGGUGUAGCGGUGAAAUGCGUAGAGAUCUGGAGGAAUACCGGUGGCGAAGGCGGCCCCCUGGACAAAGACUGACGCUCAGGUGCGAAAGCGUGGGGAGCAAACAGGAUUAGAUACCCUGGUAGUCCACGCCGUAAACGAUGUCUACUUGGAGGUUGUGCCCUUGAGGCGUGGCUUCCGGAGCUAACGCGUUAAGUAGACCGCCUGGGGAGUACGGCCGCAAGGUUAAAACUCAAAUGAAUUGACGGGGGCCCGCACAAGCGGUGGAGCAUGUGGUUUAAUUCGAUGCAACGCGAAGAACCUUACCUGGUCUUGACAUCCACAGAACUUUCCAGAGAUGGAUUGGUGCCUUCGGGAACUGUGAGACAGGUGCUGCAUGGCUGUCGUCAGCUCGUGUUGUGAAAUGUUGGGUUAAGUCCCGCAACGAGCGCAACCCUUAUCCUUUGUUGCCAGCGGUUAGGCCGGGAACUCAAAGGAGACUGCCAGUGAUAAACUGGAGGAAGGUGGGGAUGACGUCAAGUCAUCAUGGCCCUUACGACCAGGGCUACACACGUGCUACAAUGGCGCAUACAAAGAGAAGCGACCUCGCGAGAGCAAGCGGACCUCAUAAAGUGCGUCGUAGUCCGGAUUGGAGUCUGCAACUCGACUCCAUGAAGUCGGAAUCGCUAGUAAUCGUGGAUCAGAAUGCCACGGUGAAUACGUUCCCGGGCCUUGUACACACCGCCCGUCACACCAUGGGAGUGGGUUGCAAAAGAAGUAGGUAGCUUAACCUUCGGGAGGGCGCUUACCACUUUGUGAUUCAUGACUGGGGUGAAGUCGUAACAAGGUAACCGUAGGGGAACCUGCGGUUGGAUCACCUCCUUACCUUAAAGAAGC
RNAcentral lists this ribosomal RNA (1554 nucleotides) under Salmonella enterica subsp. enterica serovar Thompson. RNAcentral's name for it is "bacterial SSU rRNA". It matches the Rfam family "Bacterial small subunit ribosomal RNA". Lineage: Bacteria; Pseudomonadati; Pseudomonadota; Gammaproteobacteria; Enterobacterales; Enterobacteriaceae. The record is from RNAcentral.